UGGGGAUUUUGCACAAUGGGCGCAAGCCUGAUGCAGCGACGCCGCGUGAGGGAUGAAGGCCUUCGGGUUGUAAACCUCUUUCGCUGGGUUGAAAGGCCAUGCUUUGGGUGUGGUUGAUUUGAACUGGUAAAGAAGUACCGGCUAACUACGUGCCAGCAGCCGCGGUAAUACGUAGGGUACUAGCGUUGUCCGGAUUUAUUGGGCGUAAAGCGCACGUAGGCUGCUUUGUAAGUCAGGGGUGAAAUCCCACGGCUCAACCGUGGAACUGCCUUUGAUACUGCUUAGCUUGAAUCCGGGAGAGGGUGGCGGAAUUCCAGGUGUAGAAGUGAAAUCCGUAGAUAUCUGGAGGAACAUCAGUGGCGAAGGCGGCCACCUGGACCGGUAUUGACGCUGAGGUGCGAAAGCGUGGGGAGCAAACAGG
This 421-nucleotide ribosomal RNA is filed under the name Fusobacteriota bacterium. RNAcentral's name for it is "Fusobacteria bacterium partial 16S ribosomal RNA". It matches the Rfam family "Bacterial small subunit ribosomal RNA", at positions 356 to 776 of the family's 1533-position model. The record is from RNAcentral. Lineage: Bacteria; Fusobacteriati; Fusobacteriota.